GGGUUGUGAGGUUAAGCGACUAAGCGUACACGGUGGAUGCCCUGGCAGUCAGAGGCGAUGAAGGACGUGCUAAUCUGCGAAAAGCGCCGGCGAGGUGAUAUGAACCUUUGACCCGGCGAUGUCCGAAUGGGGAAACCCAGUGUGAUUCGUCACACUAUCGUUAACUGAAUACAUAGGUUAACGAGGCGAACCGGGGGAACUGAAACAUCUAAGUACCCCGAGGAAAAGAAAUCAACCGAGAUUCCCCCAGUAGCGGCGAGCGAACGGGGAGCAGCCCAGAGUCUGAAUCAGCUUGUGUGUUAGUGGAAGCGUCUGGAAAGUCGCACGGUACAGGGUGACAGUCCCGUACACGAAAGCACACAGGUUGUGAACUCGAAGAGUAGGGCGGGACACGUGGUAUCCUGUCUGAAUAUGGGGGGACCAUCCUCCAAGGCUAAAUACUCCUGACUGACCGAUAGUGAACCAGUACCGUGAGGGAAAGGCGAAAAGAACCCCGGCGAGGGGAGUGAAAAAGAACCUGAAACCGUGUACGUACAAGCAGUGGGAGCACCUUCGGGUGUGACUGCGUACCUUUUGUAUAAUGGGUCAGCGACUUAUAUUCUGUAGCAAGGUUAACCGUAUAGGGGAGCCGAAGGGAAACCGAGUCUUAACUGGGCGUUAAGUUGCAGGGUAUAGACCCGAAACCCGGUGAUCUAGCCAUGGGCAGGUUGAAGGUUGGGUAACACUAACUGGAGGACCGAACCGACUAAUGUUGAAAAAUUAGCGGAUGACUUGUGGCUGGGGGUGAAAGGCCAAUCAAACCGGGAGAUAGCUGGUUCUCCCCGAAAGCUAUUUAGGUAGCGCCUCGUGAACUCAUCUUCGGGGGUAGAGCACUGUUUCGGCUAGGGGGCCAUCCCGGCUUACCAACCCGAUGCAAACUACGAAUACCGAAGAAUGUUAUCACGGGAGACACACGGCGGGUGCUAACGUCCGUCGUGAAGAGGGAAACAACCCAGACCGCCAGCUAAGGUCCCAAAGUCAUGGUUAAGUGGGAAACGAUGUGGGAAGGCACAGACAGCCAGGAUGUUGGCUUAGAAGCAGCCAUCAUUUAAAGAAAGCGUAAUAGCUCACUGGUCGAGUCGGCCUGCGCGGAAGAUGUAACGGGGCUAAACCAUGCACCGAAGCUGCGGCAGCGACGCUUAUGCGUUGUUGGGUAGGGGAGCGUUCUGUAAGCCGUUGAAGGUGGCCUGUGAGGGUUGCUGGAGGUAUCAGAAGUGCGAAUGCUGACAUAAGUAACGAUAAAGCGGGUGAAAAGCCCGCUCGCCGGAAGACCAAGGGUUCCUGUCCAACGUUAAUCGGGGCAGGGUGAGUCGACCCCUAAGGCGAGGCCGAAAGGCGUAGUCGAUGGGAAACAGGUUAAUAUUCCUGUACUUGGUGUUACUGCGAAGGGGGGACGGAGAAGGCUAUGUUAGCCGGGCGACGGUUGUCCCGGUUUAAGCAUGUAGGCGGAACGAUUAGGUAAAUCCGGUCGUUUUUUAACGCUGAGGUGUGAUGACGAGGCACUACGGUGCUGAAGUAACAAAUGCCCUGCUUCCAGGAAAAGCCUCUAAGCAUCAGGUAACAUCAAAUCGUACCCCAAACCGACACAGGUGGUCAGGUAGAGAAUACCAAGGCGCUUGAGAGAACUCGGGUGAAGGAACUAGGCAAAAUGGUGCCGUAACUUCGGGAGAAGGCACGCUGAUAUGUAGGUGAAGCCCCUGCGGGUGGAGCUGAAAUCAGUCGAAGAUACCAGCUGGCUGCAACUGUUUAUUAAAAACACAGCACUGUGCAAACACGAAAGUGGACGUAUACGGUGUGACGCCUGCCCGGUGCCGGAAGGUUAAUUGAUGGGGUUAGCGGCAACGCGAAGCUCUUGAUCGAAGCCCCGGUAAACGGCGGCCGUAACUAUAACGGUCCUAAGGUAGCGAAAUUCCUUGUCGGGUAAGUUCCGACCUGCACGAAUGGCGUAAUGAUGGCCAGGCUGUCUCCACCCGAGACUCAGUGAAAUUGAACUCGCUGUGAAGAUGCAGUGUACCCGCGGCAAGACGGAAAGACCCCGUGAACCUUUACUAUAGCUUGACACUGAACACUGGUCCUUGAUGUGUAGGAUAGGUGGGAGGCUUUGAAGUGUGGACGCCAGUCUGCAUGGAGCCGUCCUUGAAAUACCACCCUUUAAUGGCUGGUGUUCUAACGUAGACCCGUGAUCCGGGUUGCGGACAGUGUCUGGUGGGUAGUUUGACUGGGGCGGUCUCCUCCCAAAGAGUAACGGAGGAGCACGAAGGUUAGCUAAUCCUGGUCGGACAUCAGGAGGUUAGUGCAAUGGCAUAAGCUAGCUUGACUGCGAGAGUGACGGCUCGAGCAGGUGCGAAAGCAGGUCAUAGUGAUCCGGUGGUUCUGAAUGGAAGGGCCAUCGCUCAACGGAUAAAAGGUACUCCGGGGAUAACAGGCUGAUACCGCCCAAGAGUUCAUAUCGACGGCGGUGUUUGGCACCUCGAUGUCGGCUCAUCACAUCCUGGGGCUGAAGUAGGUCCCAAGGGUAUGGCUGUUCGCCAUUUAAAGUGGUACGCGAGCUGGGUUUAGAACGUCGUGAGACAGUUCGGUCCCUAUCUGCCGUGGGCGCUGGAGAAUUGAGGGGGGCUGCUCCUAGUACGAGAGGACCGGAGUGGACGCAUCACUGGUGUUCGGGUUGUCAUGCCAAUGGCACUGCCCGGUAGCUAAAUGCGGAAAAGAUAAGUGCUGAAAGCAUCUAAGCACGAAACUUGCCCCGAGAUGAGUUCUCCCUGAGACUUUAAGUCUCCUGAAGGAACGUUGAAGACGACGACGUUGAUAGGUCGGGUGUGUAAGCGCAGCGAUGCGUUGAGCUAACCGAUACUAAUGAACCGUGAGGCUUAACCUUACAACGCCGAAG
This 2926-nucleotide ribosomal RNA is filed under the name Enterobacter roggenkampii. RNAcentral's name for it is "23S ribosomal RNA". It matches the Rfam family "Bacterial large subunit ribosomal RNA". Lineage: Bacteria; Pseudomonadati; Pseudomonadota; Gammaproteobacteria; Enterobacterales; Enterobacteriaceae. The record is from RNAcentral.